This 90-nucleotide transfer RNA is filed under the name Negativicutes bacterium. RNAcentral describes it as "tRNA-Ser". It matches the Rfam family "tRNA". From Rfam's summary of the family: Transfer RNA (tRNA) molecules are approximately 80 nucleotides in length. Their secondary structure includes four short double-helical elements and three loops (D, anti-codon, and T loops). Lineage: Bacteria; Bacillati; Bacillota; Negativicutes. The record is from RNAcentral.
GGAGAGGUGUCCGAGUGGUCGAUGGUGCUUGACUCGAAAUCAAGUGUGCUGUUAAAGGCACCGUGGGUUCGAAUCCCACCCUCUCCGCCA